RNAcentral lists this ribosomal RNA (380 nucleotides) under uncultured bacterium. RNAcentral's name for it is "bacterial SSU rRNA". It matches the Rfam family "Bacterial small subunit ribosomal RNA", at positions 29 to 429 of the family's 1533-position model. The record is from RNAcentral.
AGCGAACGUUUGCGGCGGGCCUAACACAUGCAAGUCGAACGGGUUGGCAACAGCCAGUGGCGCACGGGUGCGUAACACGUAGGUAAUCUACCCUCAAGUUCGGGAUAACGAUCUGAAAGGAUCGCUAAUACCGGAUGUGUUCCGAAAGGAAGAAAGACCCGCAAGGGUCGCUAGAGGACGAGCCUGCGGCCCAUCAGCUAGUUGGUGAGGUAAUGGCUCACCAAGGCUAAGACGGGUAGCUGGUCUGAGAGGAUGAUCAGUCACACUGGAACUGAGACACGGUCCAGACUCCUACGGGAGGCAGCAGUGGGGAAUAUUGCGCAAUGGGCGAAAGCCUGACGCAGCCACGCCGCGUGAGCGAUGAAGGCCUCGGUCGUAAG